This 429-nucleotide ribosomal RNA is filed under the name uncultured bacterium. RNAcentral describes it as "bacterial SSU rRNA". It matches the Rfam family "Bacterial small subunit ribosomal RNA", at positions 355 to 776 of the family's 1533-position model. The record is from RNAcentral.
UGGGGAAUUUUGCGCAAUGGGCGAAAGCCUGACGCAGCAACGCCGCGUGGAGGAUGAAGGUCCUUGGAUUGUAAACUCCUGUCAGCGGGGACGAAAUACUCCGGCCGAAUACGCCGGAGGGUUGACGGUACCCGCAGAGGAAGCCCCGGCUAACUCUGUGCCAGCAGCCGCGGUAAUACAGAGGGGGCAAGCGUUAUUCGGAAUUAUUGGGCGUAAAGGGCGCGUAGGCGGCAAGGCAAGUGGAAGGUGAAAUCCCUCGGCUCAACUGAGGAACUGCCUUCCAAACUGCUCUGCUUGAGUCCGGGAGAGGUGAGUGGAAUUCCCAGUGUAGCGGUGAAAUGCGUAGAUAUUGGGAGGAACACCAGUGGCGAAGGCGGCUCACUGGACCGGAACUGACGCUGAGGCGCGAAAGCGUGGGGAGCAAACGGG